This 427-nucleotide ribosomal RNA is filed under the name uncultured Massilia sp. RNAcentral's name for it is "bacterial SSU rRNA". It matches the Rfam family "Bacterial small subunit ribosomal RNA", at positions 355 to 774 of the family's 1533-position model. The record is from RNAcentral. Lineage: Bacteria; Pseudomonadati; Pseudomonadota; Betaproteobacteria; Burkholderiales; Oxalobacteraceae.
UGGGGAAUUUUGGACAAUGGGCGCAAGCCUGAUCCAGCAAUGCCGCGUGAGUGAAGAAGGCCUUCGGGUUGUAAAGCUCUUUUGUCAGGGAAGAAACGGUUGAGGCUAAUAUCCUCGGCUAAUGACGGUACCUGAAGAAUAAGCACCGGCUAACUACGUGCCAGCAGCCGCGGUAAUACGUAGGGUGCAAGCGUUAAUCGGAAUUACUGGGCGUAAAGCGUGCGCAGGCGGUUUUGUAAGUCUGACGUGAAAUCCCCGGGCUUAACCUGGGAAUUGCGUUGGAGACUGCAAGGCUGGAGUCUGGCAGAGGGGGGUAGAAUUCCACGUGUAGCAGUGAAAUGCGUAGAGAUGUGGAGGAACACCGAUGGCGAAGGCAGCCCCCUGGGUCAAGACUGACGCUCAUGCACGAAAGCGUGGGGAGCAAACA